GGUCUGGGAUGAGAAACAGCCAAAUCUGAGCAUCAGAAGAUAAAACAGUCUUCUAGGUAUAUGGAGUAUGCAGUUCUGAGA
Molecule: small nucleolar RNA, 81 nt
Organism: Callipepla squamata (scaled quail)
Lineage: Eukaryota; Metazoa; Chordata; Aves; Galliformes; Odontophoridae
Rfam family: Small nucleolar RNA U2-19
About the family: U2-19 is a member of the C/D class of snoRNA which contain the C (UGAUGA) and D (CUGA) box motifs.
Source: Rfam